RNAcentral lists this ribosomal RNA (461 nucleotides) under uncultured bacterium. RNAcentral describes it as "partial 16S ribosomal RNA". It matches the Rfam family "Bacterial small subunit ribosomal RNA", at positions 338 to 795 of the family's 1533-position model. The record is from RNAcentral.
CCUACGGGUGGCUGCAGUGAGGAAUAUUGGUCAAUGGGCUUACGCCUGAACCAGCCAAGUCGCGUGAGGGAAGACUGCCCUAUGGGUUGUAAACCUCUUUUGUCAGGGAGCAACGCCGGCUACGUGUAGCCGGACUGAGAGUACCUGAAGAAAAAGCAUCGGCUAACUCCGUGCCAGCAGCCGCGGUAAUACGGAGGAUGCGAGCGUUAUCCGGAUUUAUUGGGUUUAAAGGGUGCGUAGGCGGCCUUUUAAGUCAGCGGUGAAAGUCUGUGGCUCAACCAUAGAAUUGCCGUUGAAACUGGGGGGCUUGAGUAUGUUUGAGGCAGGCGGAAUGCGUGGUGUAGCGGUGAAAUGCUUAGAUAUCACGCAGAACCCCGAUUGCGAAGGCAGCCUGCCAAGCCAUGACUGACGCUGAUGCACGAAAGCGUGGGGAUCAAACAGGAUUAGAUACCCUGGUAGUC